RNAcentral lists this ribosomal RNA (733 nucleotides) under Salmonella enterica subsp. enterica serovar Enteritidis. RNAcentral's name for it is "partial 23S ribosomal RNA". It matches the Rfam family "Bacterial large subunit ribosomal RNA", at positions 2216 to 2925 of the family's 2925-position model. The record is from RNAcentral. Lineage: Bacteria; Pseudomonadati; Pseudomonadota; Gammaproteobacteria; Enterobacterales; Enterobacteriaceae.
GAUGUUCUAACCCGGGUCCAUAAUCUGGAUCGGGGACCGUGUCUGGUGGGUAGUUUGACUGGGGCGGUCUCCUCCCAAAGAGUAACGGAGGAGCACGAAGGUUGGCUAAGCAUGGUCGGACAUCAUGCGGUUAGUGCAAAGGCAUAAGCCAGCUUGACUGCGAGAGUGACGGCUCGAGCAGGUACGAAAGUAGGUCUUAGUGAUCCGGUGGUUCUGAAUGGAAGGGCCAUCGCUCAACGGAUAAAAGGUACUCCGGGGAUAACAGGCUGAUACCGCCCAAGAGUUCAUAUCGACGGCGGUGUUUGGCACCUCGAUGUCGGCUCAUCACAUCCUGGGGCUGAAGUAGGUCCCAAGGGUAUGGCUGUUCGCCAUUUAAAGUGGUACGCGAGCUGGGUUUAGAACGUCGUGAGACAGUUCGGUCCCUAUCUGCCGUGGGCGCUGGAAGAUUGAGAGGGGUUGCUCCUAGUACGAGAGGACCGGAGUGAACGCACCACUGGUGUACGGGUUGUGAUGCCAAUUGCAUUGCCCGGUAGCUAAGUGCGGAAGAGAUAACCGCUGAAAGCAUCUAAGCGGGAAACUUGCCUCGAGAUGAGUCUUCCCUGAUUCUUUAAGAAUCCUGAAGGAACGUUUGAGACUAAGACGUUGAUAGGCUGGGUGUGUAAGCGCAGCGAUGCGUUGAGCUGACCAGUACUAAUGAACCGUGAGGCUUAACCUGACAACACCGAAGGUGUUU